Molecule: small nucleolar RNA, 95 nt
Organism: Capsella rubella
Lineage: Eukaryota; Viridiplantae; Streptophyta; Magnoliopsida; Brassicales; Brassicaceae
Rfam family: Small nucleolar RNA R38
About the family: snoR38 is a C/D box small nucleolar RNA conserved across yeast, human, Arabidopsis and rice. It is encoded in the intron of elongation factor-1 gamma in both pombe and cerevisiae. snoR38 guides the methylation of 2'-O-ribose sites in 28S rRNA.
Source: Rfam
AGCUGUGGAUGAUGAACACAAAUAUCAAAAAAUACAGUUAUCCCUGUCUGAGGAUUUUAAUCCCGUUGAUGAUUGAUUUGUAAUCUGACACAACA